CCAACCUCCCUAUAGUAGAGGAUAGCCCGGCGAAAGUCGGGAUUAAUACUCUAUGUUUUCCGUUGCAGACAUCUAAGAUGGAACAAAGGCUUGCCGCUAUAGGAUGGGGGAUGCGUCUGAUUAGGUAGUCGGCGGGGUAACGGCCCACCGAGCCAUCGAUCAGUAGGGUUCUGAGAGGAAGGUCCCCCACAUUGGAACUGAGACACGGUCCAAACUCCUACGGGAGGCAGCAGUGAGGAAUAUUGGUCAAUGGGCGAGAGCCUGAACCAGCCAAGUAGCGUGCAGGACGACGGCCCUAUGGGUUGUAAACUGUCUUUUAUGCGGGGAUAAAGUUCACUACGUGUAGUGUUUUGUAGGUACCGCAUGAAUAAGGACCGGCUAAUUCCGUGCCAGCCGCUGC
This 400-nucleotide ribosomal RNA is filed under the name uncultured bacterium. Its description in RNAcentral is "bacterial SSU rRNA". It matches the Rfam family "Bacterial small subunit ribosomal RNA", at positions 121 to 518 of the family's 1533-position model. The record is from RNAcentral.